GACGAACGCUGGCGGCGUGCUUAACACAUGCAAGUCGAACGGUGAAGCGCCUUCCUUUUUGGUGGGUGUGGAUGAGUGGCGAACGGGUGAGUAACACGUGAGUAACCUGCCCCCUUCUUCUGGAUAACCGCAUGAAAGUGUGGCUAAUACGGGAUAUUCUGGGUCUGUCGCAUGAUGGGUCUGGGAAAGAUAUUGUUUCGGUGGGGGAUGGGCUCGCGGCCUAUCAGCUUGUUGGUGGGGUGAUGGCCUACCAAGGCGGUGACGGGUAGCCGGCCUGAGAGGGUGGACGGUCACACUUGGACUGAGACACGGCCCAGACUCCUACGGGAGGCAGCAGUGGGGAAUAUUGCACAAUGGGCGCAAGCCUGAUGCAGCGACGCCGCGUGAGGGAUGGAGGCCUUCGGGUUGUGAACCUCUUUCGCCAGUGAAGCAGGCCUGCCUCGUUUGUGGGUGGGUUGACGGUAGCUGGAUAAGAAGCGCCGGCUAACUACGUG
This 494-nucleotide ribosomal RNA is filed under the name uncultured bacterium. RNAcentral describes it as "partial 16S ribosomal RNA". It matches the Rfam family "Bacterial small subunit ribosomal RNA", at positions 28 to 507 of the family's 1533-position model. The record is from RNAcentral.